ACCAGCAGCCAUAUCACCCUGCAGCCCAAGACUCGUUGCCCACUGAAGCUAAGCAGGGUUGAGCCUGGUCAGUGCCUGGAUGGGAGACCUCCUGGGAUAAACUAGGUUGCUGCUGGAA
This 118-nucleotide ribosomal RNA is filed under the name Sinocyclocheilus rhinocerous. Lineage: Eukaryota; Metazoa; Chordata; Actinopteri; Cypriniformes; Cyprinidae. The record is from RNAcentral.